This is a non-coding RNA of Pteropus alecto (black flying fox), 119 nucleotides long. The record is from Rfam. NCBI's taxonomy places the organism in Eukaryota, Metazoa, Chordata, Mammalia, Chiroptera, Pteropodidae.
GUCUACGACCAUGCUGCCCUGAAUAAGCCCAAUCCUGUCUGAUCUCGGAAGCUAAGCAGGGUCAGGCCUGGUUAGUACAUGGAUGGGAGACCACCUAGGGAGACCUGAUGCUGUAGGUG